AACGCACGAGACCUGCGGACCUGCGGAGGGAUCAUUAAUGAGAAACUGCCCCUCGCGGGUAGAUCUCCCACCCUUUGUAAACUUACCUUUGUUGCUUUGGCAGGCCUGUCUCCGGACCGCCGGCUUCGGCUGGCCAGUGCCUGCCAGAGGAUUCUAAAACUCUGUCUGUCAGUGUUGUCUGAGUCUAUAUACAAUCGUUAAAACUUUCAACAAUGGAUCUCUAGAUCGGAAGAGCACACG
RNAcentral lists this unclassified non-coding RNA (240 nucleotides) under soil metagenome. RNAcentral's name for it is "partial contains 5.8S ribosomal RNA, internal transcribed spacer 2, and large subunit ribosomal RNA". The record is from RNAcentral.